UGUUUGACCAGUACAAAGUUUACUCACUUUGACCUGUUAUUCAAAUUUUAACCCGUCCAACCAACCCAUUUUGGCACCUCUAAAAGACUUAAGCUCAGAAUCUGCUGAAACUGUAAAGCUGUUCCAUCAGGUAGAAAUGUUCCAUAUGUAUCUGAUGCGUGUGUGGAUGGUUUCUCGUGUACUCGCUAAACCCUAAUUUCAUCACCUCAUUCUCAUCACAAACCUCUCAAUUCUCCACCUAUUCAAAACCCUACCACUUUAGUUUCAAUCAACACUUGCUAUUUCUCCACCAAUUAUUGAAACCGACACC
This 310-nucleotide long non-coding RNA is filed under the name Helianthus annuus (common sunflower). RNAcentral's name for it is "hypothetical non coding rna". Lineage: Eukaryota; Viridiplantae; Streptophyta; Magnoliopsida; Asterales; Asteraceae. The record is from RNAcentral.